RNAcentral lists this ribosomal RNA (712 nucleotides) under uncultured bacterium. Its description in RNAcentral is "bacterial SSU rRNA". It matches the Rfam family "Bacterial small subunit ribosomal RNA", at positions 56 to 779 of the family's 1533-position model. The record is from RNAcentral.
UGCAGUCGAACGAGAACGGAUUAUAGCUUGCUAUAAUUGUCAGCUAAGUGGCGCACGGGUGAGUAAUAUAUAGAUAACCUGCCCUCAAGAAAGGAAUAACAGUUGGAAACGACUGCUAAUGCCCUAUAUGCCUUUAAUACAUAAGUAUGCAAGGGAAACGCUUUAGUGCUUGAGGAUGGGUCUGUAUGGUAUCAGCUUGUUGGUGAGGUAAUGGCUCACCAAGGCUAUGACGCCUAACUGGUUUGAGAGGAUGAUCAGUCACACUGGAACUGAGACACGGUCCAGACUCCUACGGGAGGCAGCAGCGGGGAAUAUUGCACAAUGGACGAAAGUCUGAUGCAGCAACGCCGCGUGGAGGAUGACACAUUUCGGUGCGUAAACUCCUUUUAUAUGGGAAGAUAAUGACGGUACCAUAUGAAUAAGCACCGGCUAACUCCGUGCCAGCAGCCGCGGUAAUACGGAGGGUGCAAGCGUUACUCGGAAUCACUGGGCGUAAAGAGCGUGUAGGCGGAUAUAUAAGUCAGAAGUGAAAUCCAAUAGCUUAACUAUUGAACUGCUUUUGAAACUGUAUAUCUAGAAUGUGGGAGAGGUAGAUGGAAUUUCUGGUGUAGGGGUAAAAUCCGUAGAGAUCAGAAGGAAUACCGAUUGCGAAGGCGAUCUACUGGAACAUUAUUGACGCUGAGACGCGAAAGCGUGGGGAGCAAACAGGAUU